Cricetulus griseus (Chinese hamster) is the source of this 9611-nucleotide non-coding RNA. The record is from RefSeq and is a predicted model, not a curated record. NCBI's taxonomy places the organism in Eukaryota, Metazoa, Chordata, Mammalia, Rodentia, Cricetidae.
UCUAGGUAGUCCAGGUUAGCUUUGAACUCAUGAUUUUUCUGCUUCUGUCUUCUAAGUGGUGGGAUCAUGGCUAUGUGUCUCCAUGCCUGGAUCAGUAUCUCUCCAUCUUGAUCCAAACAAACCUUUAGUUUAGUGGGAUGUGGGCUUAUGUCACUCAACACAACUUGUACAGAUGAUGAGUUAGUGCUGGUUAUAACGAAGGAUGAUUUUCCACUAACAUGCUCAGAAGUGGGUGGUUCGAAGGGCCAGGUACAGGCUAUUGCUAAACAGGAAUGGUAUUCUAUGUUUGGUUGCAGACUGAGAGGUGGCAAUGGGUGAGCUCAUCUCGGAGUUGCUGGUGGAUGUUUUCACCCAGGACAGUUGAAUACACCUAAGAAUUGGGCGUAUUUCCAUUUUCUAGAAGUUUCUAGAUGCUUCUGUUUCAACACCUAGGAGGACGGAAUCUCACAGUCAAACUUUCUUUUCAAUUUCUUUUUCUCCUCCCUGUCUUCCUCCCCCCUCCUCUUCAUCAUUUCCCUUCUCCCUUCCCUCAUCUUUUCUCCUUCUUUCUCAUCUUCUCUUCCUUCUCCACCCUGCACCUCUUCCUCAUCUCCCCCCCUCUUCUGUUCCUCCUCUAUCCACAUAGCAAAGUUGUAAACACACUAGCCCAUGGUAGCCCAUCCCUCCAUUUCCUGCCUAGGGUGUCCCUGCUGUUCUAGUUCAGCUCGGAUUCUGAUGUUUAAAGUGUGCAGAGAAACUGAGGUGGCUGGGAAUGGAAGUUUCUUGCUAUCUGGUUGGUCAUUUUGUUCCUCAUUGGGAAAUUCUAAGCCACUGUCUCUCAUGGCAAGCCCUCUGUAGACAUCCUUUUCCUGCCUGGGCUGUCUCAGUCUGUCUCGGUGCUCUUUCUGGUGCCCUAUGCCAGGGAACCUCUGCCCAGUCUUUCCUACCCUCCAGAUGAGGGCAGAUCUUCAGGUGUUCAGGGCACCCUUGGUUAUCCUUUGUGGCAUUUCAGAUAAUAAUACUCAUUACUUGAGUUAUCUGUUUACUGUUUACUGUUCCAAUGAAGGUGGCAGGUCAUCUUCAUCUGUUGGGGCUCAAGGCAUAGCACCCCCAAAGUACAAAUGCAUAAAAAUGUGACAUUUUAAAGUAUAUAUCUUUGCAAUUUUUGGGCUGGCUAUUUUGAGAAGUCAAGGACACAUGGAUAGCCCUAGUCAUUUCCAUAGCCCAGGGAGGUCUGCAGUGGUCAUCUUAUGUGUGCCUUCUCUGUUGCCAGACCCAGUUACUCAUAGUUAGCCAUGCUCUGAAAAUAGUAAGUGGAAAACUUCAGAAUAGUUAAGAAGUUAAGCAACAUAGCAGAUUGCAAUAAGCAACUGCUCUAUUCUGUUAUUGCUUAUCGGUGCUGGUCCCUUGCUAUGCCUAACUUUAUCAGCUUUAUGUGCUUUGUAGAAAGUGCUGCCAUGCAUCAGGUAUCUGCUGGGGUCCUGUCUGGAUAAGAGGAUGUUCUGCAUUUGCUUGUAAUCAAAACAGGUUUUCUCCUGGUGACUUGCCGAGACCCCAUUUGGAUCUUCUGAGGGUAGAGAGAAGGCAUUGCUUCCUUCCUCUGUGCUGAAGAUGUUUAUGACAUGCGUUGUAGUGAGUUGUCCUAGUGACUCAGACCAUGUUUCUAGACUUGCUAGAAAGAAGAGCAUCCUUUCUCCCACUAAAGCCUCCCCAGUCUUGACAUUUGUGGCCCAGUGAGGGGAAUGUUGCUUUCCUUGGAAAGAGGUCUAAGUGCUCGUUUGCCCCUCCCCAGGAUCGUGAGUCAUUACUUUUUCCUUCAGCCCUGGCGACACCGUCUGCCCAAGAACCCAUAAUGGUUUGUCCUUGGACAAUUCGAAGGAUGUGACUCUGCCUUGAGGGCACAUUUUGGGGAGGUGGAACCUCCAUUUAUUUGUCUCCACAAUUGUUUCAUCUGUGCUUUGUGGCUUCCUGUCCACUGCCUUCUCAUCUGAUGGUGUUGCCAUUAAUAACCCUCACACAGGUAAGGAAUUCUGCAUCUUGAGCAGGCAUGUGUGAUGUGUCCAGCAAAUGUUCUUAAUGAUGCAUUCAGAGCACUUCUCCCCCAAGACCCAGCUUCCAACUCAUCCAAAUCCAUCCAAGCUCUCACACAGGACCUUGGGGAUUAAAAUUCCUGAGUCUUUUGUGAAAAGCAAAAACACCUUCUGAACACACACACACACACACACACACACACACACACACACACACAGGAGGCUAAAUCCCCUAAGCUUUCAUUUCCCUUCAUGGUUGAACUUCUAUGACUCAGAUCAUUUGCAGGCAAUCUAUUUAGUUUGCUGGUCCUGUUGACUUCCAGGAGGUCAGAACUUCUGGUUUUGCCCCUCCAGGGGCAGCAUGUGGCCCCAGCUGGCUAUGGGGUGAUGGAAAUGGGAGCAAAGAAUGAGCUAUGUUGUUUGGAAUCCAUGUUGGGAGUUUGCAGGAUGCCCUAUGUUCUGUAGAGAUGGAGGUUUUCAGGUAGAGCUGUGGUUUGGGGUUUGCUGGUGGGAGGUGGGAUUGAUAUCAUUACAUAUACGUUACUGGGAGCAAUAUCUAGCAAUUAGAUGUUAUCUUCCAGGUGUAUAAACUAAACCUUUAAGAUUUUAAGCUGCUUGGAGGCCUCUCGGCACUUUAUGAAAAUAGUUCCAAUUGAGAAUGCCAGUUGGUGGCAAUGCUUUCUCUGGAUUUUCUUGCCAGCCCCAGGCCCUAGAAGCCAGGGUACCCCUGAAAAGGCUCAGAAGCGUUUAUUGUGCUGGCCUCUGCUUAGGAACAAUCGGGGCAGCCACCCAUUGAAUGGGUGGCAGUGGGCUGGCCAGGCACUUCUGGCCCCUGUCAACCCUCCUCCCAAGCUCUGUCACUUCUUGAACCACUUCACUGAAUCGCUCAGAAGUUCCCUCCUCCGAAUCUCACACAAUCGUCUGUUCUCUCUUUAUUAGGCACUUUGAGGGACAUCGUGGUCUACACCUGCCUUUGAAGGGGCCCCCACCACAGUUUUAAUGACCUCCAUUUGUCAAAGGAAAAGUUCAGAGUUCAUUCUUUUGUCCAAGCCCUGGCAACUGAAGCGUCCAGGGUACUGGCUGGUCAGUGAUCUUUAUGUCACUGGCUUGAAAUCUUUCCCUGUGACCCCGCUCAUGUCAAAACAGCUAGCUGGCCACUCUGGCCAUUGUCAUCAGAAUAAGGGCUAAGUGAUGCUGCUUGGUCAUUACGUGUGCCCUGAUUGCCAAUCAGGGCACAAUAGGAGGUCAUUAAGGGCCAUAAAAGUGCCAAAGCUGAGAAAGGAGACUUUGAAUGGAGCCAGAGGGCCCUGGGAGCCUGGCUAGCCUUGCUGCCUCCAGGAGAGGGGCUCCAGCAAUCUUGGAGGGGAAAAGUCAACUUGACAGAAUUAAGAAGUUUCUCCUCCCCAUGGCACUUUGAACAACUAUGUCCCUCCUUUCUCAGAUGAUACUAGGACAAAAACCAAGCAAUGUUGCAUGAGAAGACAGCAGUUUCCAGAAGCCCAGUCGUGUGGGCAAACAGGAAGUCAUUCCUGCCACAUCAGUUAGAGUCACACACACUUAGGUGCAGACCCAGCUCUCUGAAGGGACAGCGAUGGUUUUCUCAGAGUGCCCAUUUCAUGCCAGGCCGCUUGCUCUGUUCUGUUGUACAUAUUCAUGGGCAUUAACUCAGGUAAGCUUGACACUAAGUCAUGUAGGCAACAGAAGGCUUUCCUGGGUCUCUUCCCUGGCAUUGCUUGUCACAAGCUUCAGAUGAAUGUGGGAGUAUUUUGUGUAAGCACUGAAAGUUAAGUUUUAUUGAGCAAAGACCUUGUGCUAGCAUAAGCAUGAUCUCGAUCCACAUGUUGGAUCCUGGGGUCCAUACCACCACCAUCCUUGCUUCAUAAUCUGGAAAUUGAAGCACAAAGAAGUGGUGUGGACAUUGUCCAUUCCUGAGGUACCAGCACCUGCGUUGCACUGUGUAGCUUUAUGCCUACAGCUCCCAGCCACACUGACUGGGCUGUUAACCAUUGUGUAGGAUACAGGAGAGUAUAGACACUGACUUACUGUGUUGCUUCGGGCAAAUCACUUCACCUCUCUAUGACUUAAGUUUUGCUACUGGAUCUUGCCAAGAAUAGGUGAUCACUGAACUCAUCCAGAUGGUCUCAAUGGAGGAUCCUUCUCUGAGAGUAUGGAUGGCCAGAGCACACACUAUGGUCAUCUUUUUCAUUGCAAGGCAAGUCAUUUGAAACCUUGGUUUCGUAUUUUACAGAGACUAGAGUCCUUGUGAGUUUCCAGAGCAGGAAGAUUUUGGGGAAAUGUGGAGUUUGAUCUUUGUGUCUUUGGGCUCUGUGCAUCCUACAGGGGUGUGUCCCUUCCCCUCUGCCUAUCAGGAAUCUCCAAAGCUGGGUGUGGAGUCCCCCAGACAAGCCUACACAAGAGCAACUUUCAGCCCCUUCAGGGUCACCUUUUUGUUCAUAAGAAAAGGACCCUCAUCAUCAAAGCAACCUCCUGACACCAGAAAUCAGCUGGGAGUGGAUGGUAUGGGCACCAGAGGAGGAGGUCCCAUCCUGAGACUGUUGGGGGUUUCCAGAGCUGUGCUGGCAAGCUUCUCCUAGAGCCCACAAGAAAGCCUUGGACCCCAAAGAGGGACAUCUGUAAGAUUCUAGCUCUCUCAGAGAUUCUGUGUCCUAAAAGAUGGGGCUGUCCACAACACUUAAUGUCUGAGAGAAGGGAAUGCUGGGAGGAAAAUUAAUGCAGCUAUGUGGAACAACAUUUGCGUUAAAGGCCUCAUGGUUCUCAGCGUGACCAUGGACUGAUUGCUGCUGCAUUCUCAAGGAAACAGGCGGGAUCCUGCCAUCAUCUGUGACUUUCGAAUUCCCAGUGCCUGACAAUGUUAGAAAUCUCAUCCAGCCUACAUCCUGUUCCCUGGAAUAGCAGGAAUGGACCUGCAGCUGCUGAAGUCUGCAUUAUCCAAUGAUGCUUUUGGGGAAGAUGCUGUCCACUUCCAGGUCAGAAAAUUCCCUAAUGUUUGCCAGUCUGCCUUCAGUCCAAGUGCCAAACAUCUACAUAUUCUGUGUCGGACAGCCAUGCUCAUCAUGUGACCCAGGGCCAUGCCCUCUCUGUGGCUGACCCUUAGUAGUGAAAGAUGGUGGAGCUGACCCAUUGGGGACCUCUUCUAUUGUUAACAUGCUAUUUUAGCCAUUCCUUCCUUCUUUGAUUUCAUAUGUGUUUCAUAUGUGUUUCCUGUGGUGUGCUGGUCUCACAGACAUGGAAUCACUGAAUUCAUUUGUGAAUGAGACAGUAGCUUCAGCUCCCAUAGCUCGAAGGAAAUCUGAACAACUGGAAAGGAAAUCCUGGGACCUGGAGAAGGAUGAAGAAGGAUCCAAGAGGAGAGUUUACAACAAAUGGGUUUCAUAUCUCAGAGACUGACAGCCUUUCCAAGGAGUCUUGGCAGAUUGCACCCGAAGAGCUGAAUGGCAUUCAAGUGUGUCUCAGUGACAGCCUGUAAGGUCUGUGCAAGCAAUUCCUUCUCAAGAGACUGGGCAGGAGCUGGCCAAAAGAAGGACUGAGGGGUGUGGGUUUGGGUAAUAGAGGAGCAUAGGUAAAAGCUAGAAAGUCAAGGGUAGACUUGGAGGAGGGUAGACUCGGAGGAGGGUAGACCCAGGUCCAUCCCAGGGUAGUAAAGAUACUCCAAGGCUAUUCAGCAUAGCAGGGAUGUGAUCACAGCUCUAGGAAAGCCUCAUUAGCUGCAGCAAUGAGUGGGUGAGAUGUCUGAUCUAGAGCAUAAUGUAAGAGUAGUCCAGGGGAAAACUGUAAUCACUGUCACUCUCUGAAAUAAAGGAGACUCUGGAAGGGUGGGAAAAGAGCUGGGUGUUUGGCAUCAAGAGGUGGGGUCCAGAGAGGUAGAACACCAAAUUGUUCAAAAUAGAGAGAUGAGUCGAAGAUGACAUCUGGGCCUACACGUUCCCAUGGGAAGAUCACUGUGGGCUAUUUGACUCUGCGGCUAGCACCUUUGGAAGUCAGAUGGGGGGGGGAGGUAAGUUGGUUUUUGUUUUUAUUUUAAGUAAGAAAGGAUGCUAGUAGCUGAUGGUGAGUGUACAAUAUAUCCAUGUGUUCUGAAAGAGCACAUUCAACAAACCACUGAAAAUAUUCUAUAAAACUUGCACCUGGAGCCCUGGAGAUGGCUCAGCCAACAAUUUGCUUUCUAAGCAAGCAAGGACCAGAGUCAGAAUCUCCAGGGCUCAAAGUCAGGAGCAGCAGUGCAUUUCUGUGAUAGCAGUGUGCCUGCAGUGAGAUGCAAGGGAGACAGGGGACUCCACAGAGGCUCACAUACCAUCUAGGAUGAGCUAUGUGGCAGCGAACCCCAAAGAGAUUAGUGGAAGGUGAGUGCUGACACCGGAGGUUGACCUCUGAUGUCCACCCAUGCACUAUGGCAUGGUGGCUUCAGGUGGGGAUGCUCUUGCUGUCUAGACUAAGUAUGUGGCUUCUUGCUGUCUAGAGUCAGACCUCUAGUGUCUCCUCCUCAUGCUAUAAGGACAGGCAUGUUCCUGUCCUACCUAUUCACGUAUUAGUAGGCUUAAUUUAUCUACUUAUUGCCCCAUCUUCAUGACCAUAUUCCUCUUACUUAUCGCUAGGCUCGUGUGGCCUUGUCUCCUGAUAGCAAAUUGGUCAUUAUGUGUUCAACAAGUAGACUCUUAGGUGCUUGUCAUUUGGCCAAGCACUUUUGCAAAUCCUGGGGAAAGAUUAAUAUAUAAGCAGUGGACAAAGAGACCCAGUGGCCUAUGCUGCUUAACAACAAUUGUGGAAAUCUGUUAACUUCUAACAACCUGUGAGAUUUCCCUUGUCCAGACCAUGCAUAAGGCAAUCCUGUGUGGGCAGCAUGGAACAGUGUAGAGUAGCCCGGAACAGCACACAGAAAGUUGUGCCAAAUAUCAGGGUAGGAUGUGCCAGAAUGAAACAUCAAUUAGCUAUUGGAGGUGUCAGGAGAGAUUUUUAAGGGACAAAUGAACUGUGUGCCCUGGGGUAUUAGGGUCCAGCCCACUGUCUAUUCUACUUGGCUAUUUUCUCCACGGGGACUACAUAUCCAUCUUGCCUACUGGAAAGUCAGUGGCUGCCUGGAGCAUUGAGGUUCUCUUAUUAUUAACCAGAGGGAGCCGUUCUUCCCUCUCUCGGAAGCCCUAGCUUAUCUGGAGGGACCUCUGUCUCCAAGAGCUGUAAAACAGGCUUUUCCCCUAAGCUAACGGCACACAAUAGAGUCACAUUAUGUAUAAUGAUUUUGUAAUGUGAACUAAUUCCACCAGGGACCUCAUGGAAAGUACCACUUUCAUUAAACUCAUCCAGCAACAAGGACCGAAUACCAAUUUGGAGGUGAUGGCAAUUUGCAAGGCACGAAUGUUUGAGACAGUUGCUGGGGCUUCCCUGAGCAAAGGCCCUUGGGAUAGAAAUCCACCCACUGGGUGACUGUGGAAUCCUGGCACAAUGGUGGUUGGGGAAAAGGCAUACUCCCUCUCCACCCCACUCUGUGCUCUAGCUAUUAGAGUCUGGGCUUCUUGACUCUGUUUCCGUGGUCUCCUCCAUCUCUAGGGCAGUUCUGCUGCCCCUGACACAGCAGCAAGGGCACCAGGGCAUCACUAGGAAUUAAUGAGACUCCAAUUACAUUUAUUUGCUUCAAGGAAUUAUACCCAGCACUGACCCUCCCAGAUAACAGUGGCUCCCAACACCUUGGUGUCCCUUCAGAAGUCAGUAAUUAUGAGAAAGACAUACGAGAGGGACACAUGGGAGCUGACUCAGAAGUAAAUAGAGAGACACAGGCCUCCUCUGCAGCAGGGCACACCAGCUCCACUCUGAUGCCUGUGUUGCCUUCCUGAGACUUGUCAAGGCCACCAACACCCAGAGAUGAGAGAGAAGACAGUACCAUCAGAAGCCCCCCUGUGCCAUUUUCCUGCCUCGCUAAUCUUAAUUGAAUCCAUCUCUCAGGCUCUCUUGACAGUGAAAGAUUGAUCAAAUCAGAGAGGCCAGGCUGGACACCACUCUUAAAAGAAAAAAAAAAUCUUCCCGAAUCAUUAAUUUGUCCAUUCUCUCCCAUUUGGCCCCAUUCUUCACUGUCCUGCAGUCCCCCUUCUCAGUAAUCACUCUCGAGUGUUCUUCCCAAUGGGCCACCAUGGCAGGAAAGUAAUUUACCAGAGGCGGGGUUUUCAGGACAGCUCUGUUCUCUCCCUCCCUGGCAUUCUUUGUCCCCUGACUAUGAAGUCCAGUGUGGCUCUAAUUAAGUCUAGUGAGGUCUCGGAACACACACUGGUGAGCAGGUCUCCAUCCCUCUUCCCUGGAGCCAGAAGUACCUGAACAUGGGAACUGUGGGCUGCAUGCACCUGGAUCCCGUCUUGAAGGGAACCAUGGGGUGCCUUCAGGAGCUGCUCCUUCCCCUCCACUACCCCCAGCUCUUAGGCUGUAGGCAUCACCUAUCCCAAAGUAAGUCCAAUAUACAGUGAGCAAGCAUGAGGCAGCCAGAGCCAUCAGAGAAAGCUCCUCACCCACAGCCAUUAUCUUUGGUGUGGCCUCUGUAAUAGCAUGGUAAUGGGCCCUGCUCCUUGUCUUGCCUCAGACAUUCAGAUCUCCGACAUUCUGUACUCCCGGCACAGUUAAGCCUCCAAAGCACUGGAUGCAUUGUUUCACCCUCUGCUCAGGCCUCCUUAUGCUCCAUUUCUUCCUCAGCUAAAGUUAAAGAGUUCCGGUGGUCUACCAGCCCUGUAGGAACUGGACCCUAGCUAUCUCUCUGAUCUCGUUCUCUUCUUAAUGCAUUCUCUUGCUCAUUCCCCUCCAACUGCCCUGGUCUCUCUUAAAGAUGCCACUUUUGUUCCUCCUUCAGCCUCUCAGCUGGCUGUCCCCUGCCUUCCAUGUUCUUCGUUGUGGAUACAACCAUUCCUUUCCCUUCACUGGCAUUAAAUGCCUGGGCUAGAUAACAGGUUUUAAGAUGAAGAGGACUAGCUGCCCUUGCAGGUAACUCAGUUUCCGUGCCCAGCACUGCACACAUGGUGGCUCACAUAUCAUCUGUAACUCCAGUUGCUUAGGAUCCAGUACCUCCUCUGGUUCUGAGGGCAUCAGGCAUGCACAUGAUACACAUAUACAUAUGUAGGUAAACAUUAAAUAAAUGAGGUCAUUCUGUCAAGGCACAUGCUUGACCACAUUGCUCCCUAAACUACCCCCUAUAGUGCUACUUAGCUUUCCAGCUAGUGUUCAUUGUUUGGCCCAGUGUUUGCGUUAUUUCUGUCUCCUGCUACUGUUUUGUAAGAUCCAUAGCAGGUUGUCCCUACCACAUAGUAAUAUUUAUUAAAUAUUGUGAAUAUAUAAAUGUUUAGUGAUGGGGCUGUUGAGAUGACUCAGAGGGUAAGAGGUGCUUGCCGUCAAGUUUGAUGCCCUGAGUUCAAUUCCCCAAACCCACAUGGUAGAACUGAUUCCCACAGUGGCCCUCUGAUUUCGAUAUGUGUGCUGUGGCAAUGUGUGCCCACAAAUAUGUGUAAAUAUUAAAACAUAUGUAAACAAAUGAGUAAGUGUGAAACACUUUUAAAGAUGUGUUUAAUGAGUGACUGUUACAGUAACAAGAUUUACUGUGAGCAUGUUUAAUGA